RNAcentral lists this ribosomal RNA (473 nucleotides) under uncultured bacterium. RNAcentral's name for it is "bacterial SSU rRNA". It matches the Rfam family "Bacterial small subunit ribosomal RNA", at positions 38 to 518 of the family's 1533-position model. The record is from RNAcentral.
GGCGGCGUGCCUAACACAUGCAAGCGAGCGGAGAAUGCGAUAUGUUACAUGGAAGUAUUCUAGCGGCGGACGGGUGAGUAACACGUGGGUAACCUGCCUCAAAGAGGGGGAUAGCCUUACCGAAAGGAAGAUUAAUACCGCAUAAGCCUGCAGUACCGCAUGGUACAGCAAGGAAAAGGAGCAAUCCGCUUUGAGAUCGGACCCGCGGCGCAUUAGCUAGUUGGUGAGGUAACGGCUCACCAAGGCGACGAUGCGUAGCCGACCUGAGAGGGUGAUCGGCCACAUUGGAACUGAGACACGGUCCAGACUCCUACGGGAGGCAGCAGUGGGGAAUAUUGCACAAUGGGCGAAAGCCUGAUUGCAGCAACGCCGCGUGAAUGAUGAAGGCCUUCGGGUCGUAAAGUUCUUUGAUCAGGGAUGAUAAUGACAGUACCUGAAAAACAAGCCACGGCUAACUACGUGCCAGCCGCCGC